ACGUAUAGGGUGUGACGCCUGCCCGGUGCCGGAAGAUUAAAUGAUGGGGUGCAAGCUCUUGAUUGAAGUCCCGGUAAACGGCGGCCGUAACUAUAACGGUCCUAAGGUAGCGAAAUUCCUUGUCGGGUAAGUUCCGACCUGCACGAAUGGCGUAACGAUGGCCACACUGUCUCCUCCCGAGACUCAGCGAAGUUGAAGUGUUUGUGAUGAUGCAAUCUCCCCGCGGCUAGACGGAAAGACCCCAUGAACCUUUACUGUAGCUUUGCAUUGGACUUUGAACCGAUCUGUGUAGGAUAGGUG
RNAcentral lists this ribosomal RNA (300 nucleotides) under Ralstonia solanacearum. It matches the Rfam family "Bacterial large subunit ribosomal RNA", at positions 1841 to 2149 of the family's 2925-position model. The record is from RNAcentral. Lineage: Bacteria; Pseudomonadati; Pseudomonadota; Betaproteobacteria; Burkholderiales; Burkholderiaceae.